CGAGUUUGAUCCUGGCUCAGGACGAACGCUGGCGGCGUGCCUCAUACAUGCAAGUCGGGCGGAGCCGGCGGGCAACCGCCGGUCGAGCGGCGGACGGGUGCGUAACACGUGAGCAAUCUACCCCGGGGUGGGGGAUAGCGGGCCGAAAGGCCCGGUAAUCCCGGCAUACGCCCCCGGCGCGCCAGGCGGCGGGGGGAAAGCCGGCGACGGCGCCCCGGGCGGGGCUCGCGGCCCAUUAGCUAGUUGGGGGGGUCACGGCCUCCCAAGGCGACGAUGGGUAGCCGGCCUGAGAGGGUGACCGGCCACACUGGGACUGAGAGACGGCCCAGACUCCUACGGGAGGCAGCAGUAGGGAAUCUUCCACAAUGGGCGCAAGCCUGAUGGAGCAACGCCGCGUGGGUGAAGACGGCCUGCGGGUUGUAAAGCCCUGUGGAUCGGGACGAGGACCGGCGGGGGGCCGCCGGGGGGCCGGUACCGAUCGAGCAAGCCCCUGCUAACUACGUGCCAGCAGCCGCGGUAAGACGUAGGGGGCAAGCGUUGUCCGGAAUGACUGGGCGUAAAGGGCGUGUAGGCGGCCGGGUACGUCGGCGCGGGCAGCCCGCGGCUCACCCGCGGGAGCGGGCCGAAACGGCCGGGCUCGAGGGCAGGAGAGGGACCUGGAAUGCCCGGUGGAGCGGUGAAAUGCGUAGAGAUCGGGCAGAACACCCGUGGCGAAGGCGGGGUCCUGGCCUGGCCCUGACGCUGAGGCGCGACAGCGUGGGGAGCGAACGGGAUUAGAUACCCCGGUAGUCCACGCCGUAAACGAUGGGUACUAGGUGUCGCGCGGGUUUGCCGGGCGGUGCCGGAGCUUACGCACUAAGUACCCCGCCUGGGGAGUACGGCCGCAAGGCUGAAACUCAAAGGAAUUGACGGGGGCCCGCACAAGCAGUGGAGCAUGUGGUUUAAUUCGACGCAACGCGCAGAACCUUACCAGGGCUCCCCGGCCCGCUGAGCGGCGGAAACCGCCGGGCGUCCGGGCAACCGGGCGAGGCGGGUCGCGGAGCUGCACUGUUGUCUCAGCUCGUGUCGUGAGAUGUUGGGUUCAGUCCCGCAACGAGCGCAACCCCCGUCGGUGGUUGCUACGAUCGCUUCGGGCGGUCGGGCGCUCCGCCGAGACAGCCGGGAACAACCCGGAGGAAGGUGGGGAUGACGUCAAAUCCGCAUGGCCUGCAUGCCCUGGGCUACACACGUGCUACAAUGCGCGCGGCAAUGGGCGGCGACCGGGCGACCGGGAGCGAAUCCCCAAACGCGCGCCUAGUUCGGAUUGCAGGCUGCAACCCGCCUGCAUGAAGCCGGAAUUGCUAGUAAUCGCGGAUCAGCAUGCCGCGGUGAAUCCGUUCCCGGGCCUUGUACACACCGCCCGUCACACCACGAAAGGGGGUCGCACCCGAAGCCGGCCGGGCGACGGCCGUCGACGGUGAGGCGCCUGAUUGGGGUGAAGUCGUAACAAGGUAGCCGUAUCGGAAGGUGCGGCUGGAUCACCU
RNAcentral lists this ribosomal RNA (1523 nucleotides) under Candidatus Hydrogenisulfobacillus filiaventi. RNAcentral describes it as "bacterial SSU rRNA". It matches the Rfam family "Bacterial small subunit ribosomal RNA". Lineage: Bacteria; Bacillati; Bacillota; Clostridia; Eubacteriales; Clostridiales Family XVII. Incertae Sedis. The record is from RNAcentral.